AAAUUUAAAAAAAUAUUAAACAUUAACUUGGCUGGAUCUUGUACAAGGAAAACAAAGCCAUUAACUUGGCAACCAUACAUCUGAAAUAAGCAUAUGAAAUUGAAGUUCAAAAUAAUCAAAGAAAAUGAAGCUUCAAAAUGUGUGACAUUGAACACAUAAUCAAUUACAAAAAAGUUGCUAUGUUUUGGCACUAAAAGCAACCGCAAGCCACAACUACCAGCAUGUCAAGGAUUAAAUUUGUUUUGGCACUAAAAGUAAACCACAAGUCACAAGAACCAGCAUGUCAAGGAUUGAAUUUGUUUGGGC
This 306-nucleotide long non-coding RNA is filed under the name Gossypium barbadense (sea-island cotton). Its description in RNAcentral is "long non-coding RNA (GBAR_LNC019906)". Lineage: Eukaryota; Viridiplantae; Streptophyta; Magnoliopsida; Malvales; Malvaceae. The record is from RNAcentral.